Molecule: regulatory RNA element, 104 nt
Organism: Prochlorococcus marinus str. NATL2A
Lineage: Bacteria; Bacillati; Cyanobacteriota; Cyanophyceae; Synechococcales; Prochlorococcaceae
Rfam family: TPP riboswitch aptamer (THI element)
About the family: Vitamin B(1) in its active form thiamin pyrophosphate (TPP) is an essential coenzyme that is synthesised by coupling of pyrimidine and thiazole moieties in bacteria. The previously detected thiamin-regulatory element, thi box was extended, resulting in a new, highly conserved RNA secondary structure, the THI element, which is widely distributed in eubacteria and also occurs in some archaea.
Source: Rfam
AUUUAUCACUAGGGGUGCCAUAUUGCUUUGCGGUAUGGCUGAGAUCACACCCUCUGAACUUGAUCUGGUUUAAACCAGUGUAAGGAAAGUGAAAUCUUGUGAUC